This 186-nucleotide ribosomal RNA is filed under the name uncultured bacterium. RNAcentral's name for it is "partial 16S ribosomal RNA". It matches the Rfam family "Bacterial small subunit ribosomal RNA", at positions 340 to 523 of the family's 1533-position model. The record is from RNAcentral.
UACGGGGGGCAGCAGUAGGGAAUCUUCCACAAUGGGCGCAAGCCUGAUGGAGCAACGCCGCGUGAGUGAAGACGGCCUUCGGGUUGUAAAGCUCUGUCUGUCGGGACGAGGACGCGCCCGGGAGGGCGCGGGGGACGGUACCGGCGGAGGAAGCCCCUGCAAACUACGUGCCAGCAGCCGCGGUAA